UAAUCAACCCGCAGUCAUAAAAACGCACGAGCGAGCAGAUUUGCGAAAAAAACCACGAUCACGGGCUCUCCUUGAUGCGCACAGGUACGGCACCGCCGCCGCCGCUACGCGCGCCGGCCUCUCCGGCCAUCCGCCACCGCCACGCUCAGCCGGCCGUCCUCUCCGUCCAAUCACCGCCCUGUUCUCCAUCCCUUCCCCAUCCGUCCCCAAUCAGUCUCCUCGAUCUCCAACCUCCUGCAGUCGUCCUUCUCUGAUUUGGAUCAAAGUGGAGCCAUCGAUGGAGGCAGGGAGCAGAUGUGGAGCCAUCGGACGAGGAGUAUUAGCUCGGGAAACAUGAGGGAGGGGGUGGAUCUGGCGGAAGCGGGGGAGCAGCAGAUGGAGCCAUCUCAUCGACCCGUUUGGCGACCGGCCGGCUAGCCAAUUCCCUUUGCUCCCAUCACUUCCUCUAGCUCCGCCCGUCGCCCGUCAGCCCGCACGAUGAUGGAUGUCUUCGCCGUCGCACGCUGCAAAGAAUCUUGUAGCUGCGUCGGUGGCGGCGCCUUCAGUUCCUGUUUUCAGGGCCCCUGCUGCAACUGGAGCAGGUGGUGUGCUUAGAAAUCUACAUCAGAGGUACUGGUCAGGCUUUGUUGGCGGGUGUGCACUUUGGCGCCCCUUCUUCAUUCUAGGGAGAUUCAUAGGAGUAAUCCAGAAGGAGUUAUGCACAACUUCCUCAAAUGGCUACAGCAAGGUUUACUAGCUAGGAGUUGGUUGAGGUUUUACCCACUGAUGGUUUCUAUUCUUUGUGCAGGAAUUUCUAGUGCACCAAGGGAGGAAGGGCCUGCUCUUGGUACACAAGACAAGCUAGAGAACAAACAAAGGCUCAACUGAUGCUUUCCUAAAGAGAGCUUCCGUCAACUGAACUUGAUAUGAUGUUAAUGCUGGAAGCUAUUGCUUGAUGUUUCCUUUGGCCUAUCACUUUAGUAGAAAUAUUCCCAGUCGACCAGAUUCGGAAUGGCGUGGUGCCGGUGCAGUGGUGCCGGGAUGAAGGUGCAGUCGUUGCAGUCCCGUGCAGCGCUGGCUCAUGCAAAUGCCCUAUCCGCGGCAUAGAUGUAGUUAGAAUCUCUCAGCUGCUAUAGAGAAGAGAAGGCCGAGAUUUGGGAAAGCAGCAUCAACUGACUGGAGAAGCCGAGUUGGAUGAGCAAGGUGUGCUCCACUGGUCAAUCCUUCAUGUCUACCCAGAGGUCUUGUGUGUGACCCUAUGGAGGAUUUUCCAGAGAUCAAUAAGCAUCUUAAUGUCAUAUCCUUGAAAAUUUAAACGAUGCCUUUUCUGAUAGUAUGUAAAGGAAUGCAUAGAUACUUGUCAUCACAAGAAAAAGGAACUCAUAGAUAUUUUACUUGAUUUUCCAAAUUCAUGUUCGCCUUAAAUAUCAAACAUGUUCUCCACCAUUGCCAUGGGAUGAGAACCACGCUUACACAA
Molecule: long non-coding RNA, 1456 nt
Organism: Triticum aestivum (bread wheat)
Lineage: Eukaryota; Viridiplantae; Streptophyta; Magnoliopsida; Poales; Poaceae
Exons: 6
Source: RefSeq, a predicted model, not a curated record